UUAGCGGCGGACGGGUGAGUAACACGUGGAUAACCUACCUAUAAGACUGGGAUAACUUCGGGAAACCGGAGCUAAUACCGGAUAAUAUAUUGAACCGCAUGGUUCAAUAGUGAAAGACGGUUUUGCUGUCACUUAUAGAUGGAUCCGCGCCGCAUUAGCUAGUUGGUAAGGUAACGGCUUACCAAGGCAACGAUGCGUAGCCGACCUGAGAGGGUGAUCGGCCACACUGGAACUGAGACACGGUCCAGACUCCUACGGGAGGCAGCAGUAGGGAAUCUUCCGCAAUGGGCGAAAGCCUGACGGAGCAACGCCGCGUGAGUGAUUAAGGUCUUCGGAUCGUAAAACUCUGUUAUUAGGGAAGAACAAAUGUGUAAGUAACUAUGCACGUCUUGACGGUACCUAAUCAGAAAGCCACGGCUAACUACGUGCCAGCAGCCGCGGUAAUACGUAGGUGGCAAGCGUUAUCCGGAAUUAUUGGGCGUAAAGCGCGCGUAGGCGGUUUUUUAAGUCUGAUGUGAAAGCCCACGGCUCAACCGUGGAGGGUCAUUGGAAACUGGAGAACUUGAGUGCAGAAGAGGAAAGUGGAAUUCCAUGUGUAGCGGUGAAAUGCGCAGAGAUAUGGAGGAACACCAGUGGCGAAGGCGACUUUCUGGUCUGUAACUGACGCUGAUGUGCGAAGGCGUGGGGAUCAAACAGGAUUAGAUACCCUGGUAGUCCACGCCGUAAACGAUGAGUGCUAAGUGUUAGGGGGUUUCCGCCCCUUAGUGCUGCAGCUAACGCAUUAAGCACUCCGCCUGGGGAGUACGACCGCAAGGU
RNAcentral lists this ribosomal RNA (816 nucleotides) under uncultured bacterium. Its description in RNAcentral is "bacterial SSU rRNA". It matches the Rfam family "Bacterial small subunit ribosomal RNA", at positions 92 to 894 of the family's 1533-position model. The record is from RNAcentral.